This 402-nucleotide ribosomal RNA is filed under the name uncultured bacterium. Its description in RNAcentral is "bacterial SSU rRNA". It matches the Rfam family "Bacterial small subunit ribosomal RNA", at positions 355 to 774 of the family's 1533-position model. The record is from RNAcentral.
UGGGGAAUAUUGGACAAUGGGCGCAAGCCUGAUCCAGCCAUGCCGCGUGAGUGAAGAAGGCCCUAGGGUUGUAAAGCUCUUUCACCCGUGAAGAUGAUGACGGUAGCGGGAGAAGAAGCCCCGGCUAACUCCGUGCCAGCAGCCGCGGUAAUACGGAGGGGGCGAGCGUUGUUCGGAAUUACUGGGCGUAAAGGGCGCGUAGGCGGGCUGGCAAGUCAGGGGUGAAAGUCCUGGGCUCAACCUGGGGACUGCCUUUGAAACUGUUGGUCUAGAGUCCGGGAGAGGAUGGCGGAAUUCCCAGUGUAGAGGUGAAAUUCGUAGAUAUUGGGAAGAACACCGGUGGCGAAGGCGGCCAUCUGGACCGGCACUGACGCUGAGGCGCGAAAGCGUGGGGAGCAAACA